Molecule: transfer RNA, 72 nt
Filed under: Amphiura sp. CZ-2022
Lineage: Eukaryota; Metazoa; Echinodermata; Ophiuroidea; Amphilepidida; Amphiuridae
Description: tRNA-Leu
Rfam family: tRNA
About the family: Transfer RNA (tRNA) molecules are approximately 80 nucleotides in length. Their secondary structure includes four short double-helical elements and three loops (D, anti-codon, and T loops). Further hydrogen bonds mediate the characteristic L-shaped molecular structure. tRNAs have two regions of fundamental functional importance: the anti-codon, which is responsible for specific mRNA codon recognition, and the 3' end, to which the tRNAs corresponding amino acid is attached (by aminoacyl-tRNA synthetases). tRNAs cope with the degeneracy of the genetic code in two manners: having more than one tRNA (with a specific anti-codon) for a particular amino acid; and 'wobble' base-pairing, i.e. permitting non-standard base-pairing at the 3rd anti-codon position.
Source: RNAcentral
AGGAAGAUAUUAUAAAGGAAUCAUAACCGUUUUAGGAACGGUUGCUAUCAGUUCGAGUCUGGUUCUUCCCAC